CAGCUUUGAGUCCUGGCUUCAUCUCUCAUCAGCUGUGUGACCUAGGGUGGCAUGUGGAGCCUCCCACCACCACCUAGGUCCUGAGAUGCAGUGAAGCCCAGCCUGUCUGCCAUCAUCCCCCAGCAUGGACCGCGGGAGCCUCCUGCCCUUCCAGCUAUGGUGCCCCCGGCCCUUUGGCACCUACUCACAGAACCAGCCACGCCCGCCUUCUGCGGCCCUCAAGCCAUCAGCCUGCCCUGAGCCUGGUGGCGGGGCCGAGCCAGACCAUGGGCCUGCCCACUCAGAGAACACACCACCUGCCUUGGCCACUGAGGUCCCUGCCUCCCAGCCGGCUCCGCUCCUCUCAGCAGCAGCUGCUGGUGAUGAGGGUCGCGUCCUCCUGGACACGUGGUAUGUCAUCAAGCCCGGGAAUACAAAGGAGAAGGUGGCCUUCUUUGUGGCCCACCAGAGGGGUGG
Molecule: long non-coding RNA, 456 nt
Filed under: Pan troglodytes (chimpanzee)
Lineage: Eukaryota; Metazoa; Chordata; Mammalia; Primates; Hominidae
Description: long non-coding RNA NONPTRT008557
Source: RNAcentral